Molecule: non-coding RNA, 365 nt
Organism: Triticum urartu
Lineage: Eukaryota; Viridiplantae; Streptophyta; Magnoliopsida; Poales; Poaceae
Source: RefSeq, a predicted model, not a curated record
CGGGGUGUUCACAGACUCCCUUAGCCCGCCAGCAUGCUGCAUAUAAGGCCUUUGUCGAGCAUAGGAAUCUCGAGGUGCGAGAGUACUUGCAACGAGUGAAGGCAAAUGAUGAUUACAACCGUCAGAUGAUGGCGGCUAUGUUGGCGUCUUGGAGUAACCGCACGGAUCCACCACAAAUGGGACCCCCACCACCACCUGCGGGAGAAUCCCCACACGUGCCCACGUUCGAUGAAUGGGUGGCACUAGGCAGUGAUAGUCCGGUUAGUACAUUUGCCUAACUACUGACAAACUAGUUCUCGUUCAUUCAACACUAUCAUAUCGUAUUUACCGUUAGAAUCUUCUCUCAAACAUGUAGGGGACCGGUG